UGUCUCAUAUAAUCGAUCAAUCAAACCGCGGAAAGACGUCAGUAAAACAGUUUGUUAACAAUGUCACUGAACUUUACUUUUACCUCAGAAAAGGCAUUCGGUGUAAAUAUUGAACUUUGGCAAGAACACAUGCUCUUCUAUAUGUGAAAAGUUGAGCAGCAGCGGUUUAUGCCGUUAUGAAGAGAAAGCAAGGCUUAGUGAAGAAGUUCCAGUCUCUAAACUCGUCUAAAAGGCCAGUUUCUGAAGGCUUUCUAGUCAGAUGACCGCUGGAUUCAGAGACCAGAGUGCUAACCAUUACACCAUGGAACCUGUCCAGGAAAAUCCCGUGAAACGAGGCAGGGCUCGUCCGGGACUCUUUCACCCCAGGAGAAUCAAAUCCCUUGACCAACGAGCCACCCCGGGCUUCAGCGUGGGAGAUAUGGCUGGACUGAUGGUGAUUGAACGCUGUUCCUAAGGUGCUGGUGCAGAGCUCACUGUGGAGUUUAUAAUCCGCAUCAGCCAAUCAGAGCACAGCACAGCGCAUCACUUCCUGCUGGAGGCAGGGUGGCGUCACCACUGAUGCAGAGGACAGAAGGACACAAUCUGAUCACAAUGGACAGUCUGGACGCUUUACAGGAAACUGCAGCGUUGCAGCAGCUAAAAAUAUUCUGCCAUCAGAUUCAAGAUAUGACUCAUGAUACGAGGCCGGAGAACAACACGUCACGGAUGACUGUGGUCAUGUUAACACCGGACAUGUGCGAGCCUGGCAGAGAUUAGCCCGUCUGAAUCAGAGAACGGUCCGCCCUAAACCUCCUCACACACCCGUUCCAUCCGCAUGAGAUGGACACUAUCGAGAUGUCUAACCACUGACUGAAAGACUGUGAGGAGACAUCUGUCAAACUUUAAUGCUCUGUUAAUCUGAUGACCAUCCCUGAAACAUGACUACAUCUCACACUGCCCAUGGAUGGAUGGAUGGAUGGAUAGAUAGAUAGAUA
This is a long non-coding RNA of Pimephales promelas (fathead minnow), 974 nucleotides long. RefSeq lists it as uncharacterized. Lineage: Eukaryota; Metazoa; Chordata; Actinopteri; Cypriniformes; Leuciscidae. The record is from RefSeq and is a predicted model, not a curated record.